This 524-nucleotide ribosomal RNA is filed under the name uncultured bacterium. RNAcentral describes it as "partial 16S ribosomal RNA". It matches the Rfam family "Bacterial small subunit ribosomal RNA", at positions 28 to 523 of the family's 1533-position model. The record is from RNAcentral.
GACGAACGCUGGCGGCGUGCUUAACACAUGCAAGUCGAACGGACAGACAGAGAGCUUGCUCUCUUGAAGUUAGUGGCGAACGGGUGAGUAACGCGUAAUCAACCUGCCCUUCAGAGGAGGAUAACAACGGGAAACCGUUGCUAAUACCGCGUACGAUUCAUGAACGGCAUCGUUUAUGAAUGAAAGGUGGCCUCUAUGUAUAAGCUAUCGCUGAAGGAGGGGAUUGCGUCUGAUUAGCUAGUUGGAGGGGUAACGGCCCACCAAGGCAAUGAUCAGUAGCCGGUCUGAGAGGAUGAACGGCCACAUUGGGACUGAGACACGGCCCAAACUCCUACGGGAGGCAGCAGUGGGGAAUCUUCCGCAAUGGACGAAAGUCUGACGGAGCAACGCCGCGUGAGUGAUGAAGGUCUUCGGAUUGUAAAGCUCUGUUAAUCGGGACGAAAGAGUUCUGCGUGAAUAAUGCAGAAAAGUGACGGUACCGGAACAGAAAGCCACGGCUAACUACGUGCCAGCAGCCGCAGUAA